Molecule: ribosomal RNA, 793 nt
Filed under: uncultured archaeon
Lineage: Archaea
Description: bacterial SSU rRNA
Rfam family: Archaeal small subunit ribosomal RNA
Source: RNAcentral
ACGGCUCAGUAACACGUGGAUAACCUGCCCUUAGGACUGGCAUAACCCCGGGAAACUGGGGAUAAUUCCGGAUAGUUCAUGGUAGCUGGAAUGCUCCAUGAUCGAAAGCUAUUGCGCCUAAGGAUGGGUCUGCGGUCUAUCAGGUAGUAGUGGGUGUAAUGUACCUACUAGCCGACGACGGAUACGGGUUGUGGGAGCAAGAGCCCGGAGAUGGAUUCUGAGACAUGAAUCCAGGCCCUACGGGGCGCAGCAGGCGCGAAAACUUUACAAUGCGGGAAACCGCGAUAAGGGGACACCGAGUGCCAGCAUCUUAUGUUGGCUGUCCGCAUGUAUAAAUCACAUGUGUUAGCAAGGGCCGGGCAAGACCGGUGCCAGCCGCCGCGGUAACACCGGCGGCCCGAGUGGUGGCCACUAUUAUUGGGUCUAAAGGGUCCGUAGCCAGUUUGGUCAGUCUUCCGGGAAAUCUGACGGCUUAACCGUUAGGCUUUCGGGGGAUACUACCAGGCUUGGGACCGGGAGAGGUAAGAGGUACUACGGGGGUAGGAGUGAAAUCUUGUAAUCCUCGUGGGACCACCAGUGGCGAAGGCGUCUUACCAGAACGGGUCCGACGGUGAGGGACGAAAGCUGGGGGCACGAACCGGAUUAGAUACCCGGGUAGUCCCAGCCGUAAACUAUGCUCGCUAGGUGUCAGGGACGGUGCGACCGUUUCUGGUGCCGCAGGGAAGCCGUGAAGCGAGCCACCUGGGAAGUACGGUCGCAAGGCUGAAACUUAAAGGAAUUGGCGGGGGAGCAC